ACCGCAUGGUUUGAAGAGGAAAAGAGGCGCAAGCUUCUGCUGAUGGAUGGACCCGCGGUGCAUUAGCUAGUUGGUGAGGUAACGGCUCACCAAGGCCGUGAUGCAUAGCCGACCUGAGAGGGUGAUCGGCCACAUUGGGACUGAGACACGGCCCAAACUCCUACGGGAGGCAGCAGUAGGGAAUCUUCCGCAAUGGACGCAAGUCUGACGGAGCAACGCCGCGUGAGUGAAGAAGGUUUUCGGAUCGUAAAACUCUGUUGUUAGAGAAGAACAAGUGCUAGAGUAACUGUUAGCGCCUUGACGGUAUCUAACCAGAAAGCCACGGCUAACUACGUGCCAGCAGCCGCGGUAAUACGUAGGUGGCAAGCGUUGUCCGGAUUUAUUGGGCGUAAAGCGAGCGCAGGCGGUUCCUUAAGUCUGAUGUGAAAGCCCCCGGCUCAACCGGGGAGGGUCAUUGGAAACUGGGGAACUUGAGUGCAGAAGAGGAGAGUGGAAUUCCAUGUGUAGCGGUGAAAUGCGUAGAUAUAUGGAGGAACACCAGUGGCGAAGGCGACUCUCUGGUCUGUAACUGACGCUGAGGCUCGAAAGCGUGGGUAGCAAACAGGAUUAGAUACCCUGGUAGUCCACGCCGUAAACGAUGAGUGCUAAGUGUUGGAGGGUUUCCGCCCUUCAGUGCUGCAGUUAACGCAUUAAGCACUCCGCCUGGGGAGUACGACCGCAAGGUUGAAACUCAAAGGAAUUGACGGC
This 747-nucleotide ribosomal RNA is filed under the name uncultured bacterium. RNAcentral describes it as "bacterial SSU rRNA". It matches the Rfam family "Bacterial small subunit ribosomal RNA", at positions 185 to 917 of the family's 1533-position model. The record is from RNAcentral.